CAAUAAUUGGCCUUGUUCCUGAGCUGUUGGAUUCGGGGCCGUAGCACUGUCUGAGAGGUUUACAUUUCUCACAGUGAACCGGUCU
This 85-nucleotide microRNA precursor is filed under the name Meriones unguiculatus (Mongolian gerbil). RNAcentral's name for it is "miRNA (ENSMUGG00000005864.1)". The stretch from base 21 to 85 matches the Rfam family "mir-128 microRNA precursor family", at positions 1 to 67 of the family's 83-position model. Lineage: Eukaryota; Metazoa; Chordata; Mammalia; Rodentia; Muridae. The record is from RNAcentral.